This 24-nucleotide non-coding RNA is filed under the name Arabidopsis thaliana (thale cress). Lineage: Eukaryota; Viridiplantae; Streptophyta; Magnoliopsida; Brassicales; Brassicaceae. The record is from RNAcentral.
CCUUACAAUUCAUGCCACAUUUGG